AUGAGAGAAACUAAUAAAAAGAAGUUUGAUGUAUCGACUUACCGCAUAUAUUUUAACUGAAAUAUACAGCAUCUGAAAGAAUAUAAAUUGUAUUGCCCUUCAAGACCAUUUGUGUUCUUUGCGUAUGCAACAGUCUUCGUAAGCGAUAAAUAUUUUGAUAUACCCUGUAAAAAAUAAAUUUCCUGAUAAUUUCAUACGGCAUAAAAACAUGACACAUGCCUGGUUGAAAAUUAAAAAAAAAAAAAAGAAAACAGAGUAAAUAAUGCAUUCAAAAUGUUGCAGGGCUUGGUAAAAAAAAGCUGCAUUAUACAUUCCAGGUUUUUGUUGUUAAUA
Non-coding RNA from Drosophila virilis, 333 nucleotides. Lineage: Eukaryota; Metazoa; Arthropoda; Insecta; Diptera; Drosophilidae. The record is from RefSeq and is a predicted model, not a curated record.